This is a long non-coding RNA of Myotis myotis, 1206 nucleotides long. RefSeq lists it as uncharacterized. The record is from RefSeq and is a predicted model, not a curated record. NCBI's taxonomy places the organism in Eukaryota, Metazoa, Chordata, Mammalia, Chiroptera, Vespertilionidae. The transcript has 4 exons.
UGUUGUGCAUGAGAAACUGCUGAAGGUUUCUGCACCUUCCAGUGUGCCUGGUGUGGUCAGCUCAGGCUGUUUAGAGCUUUGGGUGUAAGUGGGUCAUCACCCCAGGGUCUCCCUGACUUCAUUCUGGGAGAUGGACAAGGUAGAAGGGGACCUGAGCUUCACUUUCACUCCCUGACUUUGGAGCUACGUAUCCUCAGGUGGCUCCAGGUAGGCAAAGGAACAGCUUACAAGAUACGGACAAGAAUCACCACUCUACUUAAAAGAAGUGGGUUGGAACCACAGCUCCCAAAGGGAUCCUUCUAGAAUGGGAUGUUAAAUAUGCUGAUUUCCCGAAGACACCAGCAUUCAACUGGGUUUCCAUUACAGCCUUUCAAGUUCUGAGCCCCUACACUGAUUCUCUAACUUGGCUGUGUGCUAAUUGGAGGCCACAAUUUUGAAGGAGGAGGGAGAACAUUCGAUAUUGAAGACCCAAGUCAUGAUCAAGGCUGUCUGCUGAGGACACAUGUCACUUUACAGGAAGCCCUACUCUCAAAAUGCAGAUUGGCCAUGAUGCUCUCUCCUUGGCUAGGAGCCUCUCGUGACUGCUGGGAUGCACAAAAUAAGGUGGGAUUCCUUGUCACGGCAUUCGAGACAACUCAGGCUGAUUGACUUUAGUAGGCUAGCACAUGGUAAAAAAAAUCACUGACCAACAAAUGAUACUGAUCAACAAACUGGAUAUCUACAUGCAGCAGAAUAAAGUUGAAGACUUACCUUAUACCAUAUGCAAAAGUCAACUCUACGUGGAUUAAAAACUAAACACAAGUGCUAAUACUAUAAGAUUCUUAAGAAAACAUAGGGGGAAAGCUUUAUAACAUUAACUUCAGAUCCAAUUAUUUUUUAUUAUGAAAUAAAAAACAUAAGCAAAAAAAGAAAAAGUAGGCACAUUAAUUUUUUUCAACAUUAAAAACUUUUUAUGUAUCAAAGGACGCUACCAGAGUGAAAAGGCACCCUCUAGAAUGGGAGUAAAUAUUUGCAAAUCAUCUAUCUGAUAUGGGAUUGACAUCUAGAAUUCUAUAUGAGAAUUCUUACAACUGAAAAACAAAACAAUCUGAUUAAAAAUUAGGCAAACAACUUGAUAGACAUUUUACCAUGGGUUUUAAUCUAGGGAUGCAAGGCUGUUAUAAUAUUUGCUUAUCAAUUAAUGUGAUGCAUCAAAGAAACAAAAUG